This 429-nucleotide ribosomal RNA is filed under the name uncultured bacterium. RNAcentral describes it as "partial 16S ribosomal RNA". It matches the Rfam family "Bacterial small subunit ribosomal RNA", at positions 466 to 883 of the family's 1533-position model. The record is from RNAcentral.
UCAAUGACAUUAUGGGGAGAAGGAGCUCCGGCUAACUCUGUUCCAGCACAACACAAUAAGAGAAGAGGGAGAAAAGACAUUUUUCGGAAUGGUAGGGGCGUAAAGCACGCGUAGGGGGUGAAUGAAGUCAGAUGUGUAAUGAAAGGGGCUGAACUCGGGAACUGGCAGGAGGCGGGAUAGGAAGAAUGUUGGAGGGAGGAGUGGAAUUCCAAGUGUAGGGGUGAAAUUGGUGGAUAUUCGGAAGCACCCCAGGGGAGAAGCCGGCCCCCUGGACAAUUAUUACGCUGAGGUGCGAAAGCGAGGGGAGCAAACAGGACUUAGAUUCCCUGUUAGUCCCCGCCGAAACAAAAAAGGACUAUCUUCCGGGGUCACAAGAGGUUUUCGGUGGCGCAGCUAAACGCCAUAAAUUUUCCCCCCCCUGGGGAACCC